This 29-nucleotide small RNA is filed under the name Bombyx mori (domestic silkworm). RNAcentral's name for it is "ovarian small RNA-5158". Lineage: Eukaryota; Metazoa; Arthropoda; Insecta; Lepidoptera; Bombycidae. The record is from RNAcentral.
GAGCUUGAGAUGAGGACGGAAGUACCGGA